GGGACUAGUUUGUAGGAGGGUAGGGGUUAAGGAAGGGGACUAGUCUGGGAGGGUAGGGGUUAAGGAAGGGGACUAGUCUGGGAGGGUAGGGUUUGAGGAAGGGGACUAGUUUGAGGAAGGGGACUAGUUUGUAGGAGGGUAGGGGUUAAGGAAGGGGACUAGUUUGUGGGAGGGUAGGGGUUAAGGAAGGGGACUAGUUUAGUAGGGGGUAGGGAAGGGGACUAGUUUGUAGGAGAGUAGGGGUAGGGAAGGGACUAGUCUGCAGGAGGGGAAGGACUAGUGUGUAGUAGGGUAGGGGUUAAGGAAGGGGACUAGUCAGGGGAGGGUAGGGGUUAAGGAAGGGGACUAGUUUGUGGGAGGGGACUAGUUUGUAGGAGGGUAGGGGAUAGGGAAGGGGACUAGUUUGAGGAAGGGGACUAGUUUGUAGGAGGGUAGGGGAUAGGGAAGGGGACUAGUUUGUAGGAGGGGAAGGGGACUAGUGUGUAGUAGGGCAGGGGUUAAGGAAGGGGACUAGUUUGUGGGAGGGUAGGGGUUAAGGAAGGGGACUAGUUUGUGGGAGGGUAGGGGUUAAGGAAGGGGACUAGUUUGUUGUAGGGUAGGGGUUAAGGAAGGGGACUAGUUUGUAGUAGGGUAUGGGUUAAGGAAGGGGACUAGUUUGUAGUAGGGUAGAGGGUUAAGGAAGGGGACUAGUUUGUUGUAGGGUAGGGUAGGGGUUAAGGAAGGGGACUAGUUUGUUGUAGGGGUUAAGGAAGGGGACUAGUUUGUAGUAGGGUAGGGGUUAAGGAAGGGGACUAGUUUGUGGGAGGGUAGGGGUUAAGGAAGGGGACUAGUUUGUUGUAGGGGUUAAGGAAGGGGACUAGUUUGUGGGAGGGUAGGGGUUAAGGAAGGGGACUAGUUUGUUGUAGGGUAGGGGGUUAAGGAAGGGGACUAGUUUGUAGUAGGGUAGGGGUUAAGGAAGGGGACUAGUUUGUGGGAGGGUAGGGGUUAAGGAAGGGGACUAGUUUGUGGGAGGUUAGGGGUUAAGGAAGGGGACUAGUUUGUGGGAGGUUAGGGGUUAAGGAAGGGGACUAGUUUGUAGUAGGGUAGGGGUUAAGGAAGGGGACUAGUCUGCAGGAGGGUAGGGGUUAAGGAAGGGGACUAGUUUGUAGGGGUUAGGGAAGUGGACUAGUGUGUAGGAGGGCAGGGGUUAAGGAAGGGGACUAGUUUGUGGGAGGUUAGGGGUUAAGGAAGGGGACUAGUUUGUGGGAGGUUAGGGGUUAAGGAAGGGGACUAGUUUGUAGUAGGGUAGGGGUUAAGGAAGGGACUAGUCUGCAGGAGGGUAGGGGUUAAGGAAGGGGACUAGUUUGUAGUAGGGUAGGGGUUAAGGAAGGGGACUAGUCUGCAGGAGGGUAGCGGUUAAGGAAGGGGACUAGUUUGUAGGGGUUAGGGAAGUGGACUAGUGUGUAGGAGGGUAUGGGACCCGGCUAGCACCUGAGUGGAAUAUAAAGACAGUACGGUCAACUCUUUACAUGUGCUCCUCUGAUCCUACUGAUGGACUUCCAGACUCAGUAUCCCAGAAGCACUACUGCUGCUCACCACGAUUGAGGAGCUGUCCUGUAGUUUAUGAAGGCAGUAGGGUAGAGUUGCACCCUUUCCCUUUGUCUAAUGUUUUUACAGGUUGAAAUGUCUCGCUUUGGCCAAACUCUGCUUCUCUCAGUCUCUGGCUAGCUAGCCAGGCUACUGUUUCUGUAUAGGACCAGGCUAGGAGAGUUAGCAUGACUACUGUCUCUGUAUAGGACCAGGCUAGGAGAGUUAGCAUGACUACUGUCUCUGUAUAGGACCAGGCUAGGAGAGUUAGCAUGACUACUGUCUCUGUAUAGGACCAGGCUAGGAGAGUUAGCAUGACUACUGUUUCUGUAUAGGACCAGGCUAGGAGAGUUAGCAUGACUACUGUUUCUGUAUAGGACCAGGCUAGGAGAGUUAGCAUGACUACUGUUUCUGUAUAGGACCAGGCUAGGAGAGUUAGCAUGACUACUGUCUCUGUAUAGGACCAGGCUAGGAGAGUUAGCAUGACUACUGUUUCUGUAUAGGACCAGGCUAGGAGAGUUAGCAUGACUACUGUUUCUGUAUAGGACCAGGCUAGGAGAGUUAGCA
Molecule: long non-coding RNA, 2133 nt
Organism: Oncorhynchus tshawytscha (Chinook salmon)
Lineage: Eukaryota; Metazoa; Chordata; Actinopteri; Salmoniformes; Salmonidae
Source: Ensembl